Molecule: ribosomal RNA, 509 nt
Filed under: uncultured bacterium
Lineage: Bacteria
Description: partial 16S ribosomal RNA
Rfam family: Bacterial small subunit ribosomal RNA
Source: RNAcentral
GACGAACGCUGGCGGCGUGCUUAACACAUGCAAGUCGAACGAAGAGCCAUGGAUCCUUGUUUCUAUCAAUCUUAGUGGCGCACGUGUUAGUUACGCGUAUUCAACCUGCCCUUCAGAGGGUGACCACAGUUGGGAACGACUGCUAAUACCGCAUACGUUCUAAUCUCGGCAUUGAGGAUAGCUGGCAGGUUUCCUCUACAUGUUGGCUAUCACUCUAGUUGGGGAUUGCGUCUGAUUAGCUAGUUGGAGGGGUAACGGCCAACCAAGGCGAUGAUCAGUAGCCGGUCUGAGAGGAGGAAAGGCCACAUUGGGAAUGAGACACGGCCCAGAAUCCUACGGGAGGCAGCAGUGGGGAAUCUUCCGCAAAGGACGAAAGUCUGACGGAGCAACGCCGCGUGAGCGAUGAAGGCCUUCGGGUUGUAAAGCACUGUUGAUGGGAACGAAAGGGAUUGUGGCGAAUAGUGGGAAGGAUGAAGGGAACCGGAAAAGAAGGACAGGGUAAAUUAGGG